Molecule: long non-coding RNA, 530 nt
Organism: Syngnathus acus (greater pipefish)
Lineage: Eukaryota; Metazoa; Chordata; Actinopteri; Syngnathiformes; Syngnathidae
Exons: 3
Source: RefSeq, a predicted model, not a curated record
CUAACGUCUUCUUCAUUCUUGGAGUAAAACAUAGACUUUGAAUAUGAUUUUUAUUUAAGAUGUCGUUGCCUAAUAGAUGAGAUGAGCGCCGUUCCCAUGGUGAUGACGCAGCAGGAAUUUGUUGUUGCAUCAGAAAGUUAAUGGAGGCAACGAUCUAAAGCAAACCACUUCUCACAGAAUAUGCAAAAAAGAUAUUGUCAUAGCCCCUGCUUUGAUUUCACACCACCCGCCUCCAGAUCAUUUUGGGCCUGUCUCGCAAACAGCAGGUCAUACAAGGAACGUCGCACCUUCACUCCAUCUUCAUCCUCAUCCCAAACACGUCUCGGUACCCAGCUGGCUCCGGCACUUGUUCUGUGCGCACACUGCCAGCCUCUGACGCAUGAAUAUUCCUGACAUCAUCUUCUUUUUUUUCUCCACAAACAACCAUAUUUGGAAUAUGCCUCCGUUUUACGGACAAACAGGUUGUGAAAAAUUGGGAACACUUGCAUAAUCCAAUAAAACCUGCAUUUACAAAGACAAUAAAGCAACCA